GGUCUAAAUGUGAAUUCACAAGAGCACUCGCCAAAAAAUGGGAUGGCAAAAGUAAAUGCAAAUACUGAUUUAUCAACAGAAUUUCAGAAACAUGUAUUGAAAAAGUUAAAUCAACUACUGAAUGCAAUGAGUCAAAUGGAAGAAAGAAUUAAGAACAUUGAGAGUUCUUUGACUACAAAAGAUGACAAUGAAGUCACUAUGGACACUGUUGAUUUACAGUUACCAUGCGUUACUAUUGAAAAGUUUAUAGAGUUUGACACAUCUCUUUGCGAACAAGGACACUUGAAGAAAGUGGUAAACAUCCUCAAGCACGUUGGAGGUGGUAAUGUACAUGACAUCAUAAUAAAUUUGAUGAAGAGAUUAAUGGAGGAUGAAGUGGCAGAACAGUUCAGCUGGGUUGGUGCAAAGGGCAAAAAACCAUUCAAGGAUUUGAAAGCACGGUUCCUGAUUUUAGAGACUCUGCUUGCUCAUGGUAAGCAAUCUACAGAAGUAGAAGUUGGACAUGUGGUGGCUAGAUGGCUUGUGCAGGCAAAGCUAAGGCUGCAAAGAAAGAAUGAAAAAAUCUCAAGAACACCUGCAUGAGGCAGUUAAAAAUUUCAUGUUUUGUAUGUAUAUAAU
Bacillus rossius redtenbacheri is the source of this 618-nucleotide long non-coding RNA. RefSeq lists it as uncharacterized. The transcript has 5 exons. The record is from RefSeq and is a predicted model, not a curated record. NCBI's taxonomy places the organism in Eukaryota, Metazoa, Arthropoda, Insecta, Phasmatodea, Bacillidae.